RNAcentral lists this long non-coding RNA (408 nucleotides) under Ananas comosus (pineapple). RNAcentral's name for it is "long non-coding RNA (ACOM_LNC005666)". The record is from RNAcentral. Lineage: Eukaryota; Viridiplantae; Streptophyta; Magnoliopsida; Poales; Bromeliaceae.
AAUUUGAACAUGAAACAAUUAUUUCUUUUUUCAAUAUUUCAAAAUAUAUUAUAUUAAAUCUAAAUUUUUAAAAUACAAAUUCAAAUAUAACAUCAUAUAUAUACACACACACACACACACACACACGCACACACACACACAAAAUAAUUCGGGUUCGGGUCGGGUUCGGGUUCGGGUUUGGGUCGAAUACAGUCAAAAUCCAUAUUCGAAUCCAUAUCCGUCGGAUUUCUAUUUUUUAUAUCCAUAUCAAAAUUCAUAUCCAUUUAGCAUGGGAUAUAUCCGUUUCAUUCGGCUUCAGAUUCGGAUAAAAUUUCGAAUAUCCAUACCCAUUGACAUCCCUAGAUAAGAGUAUGACUUUUGAAAAAGAAAGUAGAUAUGUUAGCUGUAUUUUUCAAUAAUUCAAACAAA